UUUUUUUUUUUUUUUUUUUUUUUUAAAGACAGGGCCUCUCACUGAAACUCUGGGUCUCACCGAUCACACUAGGCUGACUGGCCAGCUCGCCCUUGUGCUGCCAUUCCAAGCCUGUCUAACUACUCUCAACUUGAUGAGGGUGGCGAGGGAUGAGCUUAGGUCUUCAAGGCUUCAGGUCCUCGUGCUGUGCAGCAAACACUCUCUGACCGACCCAGCUCCACAGCCACCCAUCACUAUGUAUCCCAUGGGGCUUUGCUCCUGGUGAUCUUCCCAGCUAAAAGAUACUUUCCCCAGCAUUCAUAUCUUCCUCCUUUCCUUCCCUCCUACACCCACACAGGCUUUGUCAGGUGACUCUGCCUAUCAGCAGCUUCAGGACUUGACACCUAGAAUAGACCUGUAUAUUACCCUACUUCUUAGUAGCCAUUUAAUCUUGAGCAGGUCACCUGAUUUUAUGUAGCGUCUCCAUUUUGGAAAAUGAGCUAGUAAUAGUAACCAUCUUAAUAGAUUGCUGGAAAGAUUAUAUGAGUUGAUUUGCAUAAAGUCCGUACAACUAUGGUUCAUAAGUAUCAUAAGACCAUCAUCUCCAAUACAUCCUGUUCCUUGGUUUAUAGUUGACUAACAACCGAAAGUGUGUGGGUCUGAGUGGGUAGCUCAUCAGUUACCCACAAUGCAUAUGGACGUUGUAGGCUGUAGAUGUGUUCCUCAUGAAGUGUCCCAGGUAGGACAGCAGCUGCUGUACACUCUCAGUUCCCAUUCAUUCUGGAGCGUUCUCUGUCUUAGGCUAUGCUUUUUGGGGAGAGUAUGCUGUGCAGAUUUAUGUGCAGAAGAUUUGGAGAUGUGUACUUGGUUGGCAUCAGGACCACUGAGAAGAUGAAGGAUGUGGGGUUGGGCAGGGGAAGAUGCUGAACAGAACUGAGCCUACAGCAGAGACUACAGCCAAUCCUUUGGGAACUUUGGAGUUGAGUGGUUCAUUUAGAGUAACUGAAAUCUAGGAAAGGGGAGUUGGGUCUUUAUAAGUCCACACUGGUCUUUGGAUGCAGGUUGUGCUCACGUUGGCUUUCUUUACCCAGGUGCUCCCCACAUUCUCUUCCCAAAACCCCUGAUCCCAUCCCAGUCAAAUCAUGGCUGAAGCUUGACUUCUGCUUAUCUCUCAAGAUUCAGGUCUGUCAGCUUGAAGCAAGACUGAUAUGUAAGGAGUCCUUAGUGAGAGAAUUGGUUAGGGAGAAUCUUUUUCUAGAGAUCAGAACUAGCCAAUGGAGACACUGACUAGACUUUAAGCUGGUAUUCCUCAAUGCAUGGACAUGGUUCUUUAUGUAGAAAAUGGGGAAUCAGGUUAGAGAAGUCUUUCCACACUCAAGUUUCCAGGUAUCCAGUUUUACUCUAUACCAGAUGCCAACUGCUUUUUCUGUGAGGGGCCGAAUAGUAACCAUUUUCAUCUUCAUGGUGUAUAUCGCAGCUGAACUCUGGCACUGUGUGGGACAUACCCAUAAACAACAUGUAAAUAAUGGGUGUGGCUUAUUCAAAUGAAACUUUAUUGACAGACACAUGCAGCUAAGGAAGCAACACUACCUGGCAAUGUGUUGGGAAUGUGCAUUUUUAGACUCUCUUCAAGGCCAUCAGUCAGUCAGCAUGGCUAUGUCCCCAUGAAGACGGCUUGAUUACUGGAUAUGGUGACAUAGGAGGCUGAAUCAGGAGGGUUGCUAUUGUAAGCUAGCCUGACUAUGUGGUUGGAGACCAUCCUGGCUUAUACAGUGUGGUCUUGCCAUCCAGUCCCCACAGAAAGAGCAUCAAUCAUCUCAUU
This 1801-nucleotide long non-coding RNA is filed under the name Mus musculus (house mouse). Its description in RNAcentral is "long non-coding RNA chr8:108035337-108037138". Lineage: Eukaryota; Metazoa; Chordata; Mammalia; Rodentia; Muridae. The record is from RNAcentral.